RNAcentral lists this long non-coding RNA (5439 nucleotides) under Gossypium barbadense (sea-island cotton). RNAcentral's name for it is "long non-coding RNA (GBAR_LNC017513)". The record is from RNAcentral. Lineage: Eukaryota; Viridiplantae; Streptophyta; Magnoliopsida; Malvales; Malvaceae.
UUAAAUAUUACUUUACCUCAAUUUGAAUAUGUGACCAUUUUUUUUUUUUGAUGAAAAACUGGCUAAUAUAUUAAUAAUCACGCGGCUCAGGCAAAGUUGAAAAGACAUAGUCAAAAAGACAGAUAAAUUAAAAGGCCCCAACUAAAAAGCCAACACACACCUAAAAAACAAUCAAAACCAAAACAAAAUAAGAAAAACCACCCUGAAUCAAAAACUGCAGCUAAUUUCAAAACCCAAUAUCAGCCAACGGACGUAUCGCUUCUCCUCCUGAAAAAGAUCUUGAGAUUAGGAAGAGAAGAGAACGAAGCUUUGAAUCCAUAACUGGAGGAGCGGUGAGUCUUCACCAUUUUCAAAGCUGAGUCAAGAAAAACCUUGGUAUUUAUGAUUCCAAGCCAAUCAAUCCAUCAUCGCCAUCGUCUUCACGGAAUCAGGAACUCCAUCUGACCAGACACCACAAGUCUGUUGCCUCCGGCCUUCCAGCGCGGAACGUUCCUAUUAAUUCUCCUGCCCAGUCUCUUGCUAAAACUGCUAUUGUAGCGAUUCGAAAUUCAUUUUGAAAAGAUGCAUCAAAAUUUAGUUUGAUGACUCCACAGUCAGGGGGUUGCCAAAACUCUUUUACCAUAGAUCUAAGAGAAGGGCGAAGACUCUCUUGAUUUAGGUUAAGAUCUUGAACAUAACCACGAAUAAAUCCCAACAGUUCCUGAAAAGAAAGUUUGACCCCUUCAUGAAUAAGUUUAUUUCUUCUAAACCAUAGGCUCCAUAAAGAGAUUGCCAUAACUUGUCUUUGUUGAUCAUCUGCAGUGGAAAAAGUAUGAAGAAAACGAUGCUUACAACACGACAGUUCAUCAAAUGACGGAAUCUUGAUCUGAAGCGAAGCCCACACAGACUGAAGAGUGCCACAAGACCACAUCAAAUGACUAGAAUCCUCGGGAUCUACUUUGCACAAAGGACAGACGACUUCUACAUUUAACAAUCGUCUCGCCAAAUUAUAAGAAUGAGGCAAUAGAUUAUUAAAAAGCCGUAUAGUUAGCAUCAUUAGGAAAUAUGAAAGUAUUUUUCUAUAACAGUUCUGUAGAUAGAACCCGAUACCCACUUUUCACUGUAUAUUCCCCAGAACCUUCAUGUUUCCAUACCAACAUGUCCUCCGAAUUAGCUCCAGAAAUAGGAAUGGAGAGCAUAAGCUCUGCUGUGCUUUCGUCAAAUAUUUUGUGGAUCAACUCAUUGUCCUAGGUAUUAGUGGCGGCCUUAAUUAAUUGAUUUGCAUGCAUCUAAGUAGGCAUAACCUUUUGGAUUAAUACUCUAUUGUUCUCCCUUCCAGGUAACCAAGGCUCACUUCAUAUAUUAAUUCGGGCACCACUACUAACACGCCGCACUAACCCAUCCGCAAUCAGCUCCCGAGCACUGCAUAUACUUCUCCAGGUAAACGAAGGGUAAGAUCUAAUAUUUUCUUAUAGUAUAUCUGAAGAUGGAUAAUAACGGGCUUUUAACACUUUAGCUAAAAGACAAUUAGGCUGGGAAAACAUGCGCCAAACUUGUUUUGCUAAUAGAGCCUUGCUAACAAAAACAGAUUUUUAAAACUCAUUCCACCAACGCAUUUCGGUCGACAUAAGAAAUCCCAAGUGCUCCAAUGUAUGCCCUUCAUAGUUUUAUUAUUUGUCCACCAAAACUUAUUCAUUAUGCCUUCAAGUUUAUGACAUAAAGACUUCGGCAUAAAGAAACACUGCAUAACAUAAAGAGGUAUGGCUUGUAGAACCGACUUAAAGAAAACCUCAUUCCCCCUAUAGAUAGAUAGCGCAAACUCUACCCUUCGACGCGUUUUCUGAACCUAUCAACAAAAUUAGCAAAAGCCCAAGUUUUCCUCCGGCCAACCAUCAUAGGCAAGCCUAAGUAUUUUUUUGGGCUUAAAGCCAUCCGAACCCCUAGCAAAUUAACUAUGUUUUCCUUGAUAGUGGAGUCCACAUUAGCUACAAAAUAAAUAAGGGAUUUAUCAAAAUUCACACGCUGCCCAGAAAUCAUUUCAUACUCCCGAAUCACAUCCCGAAUCACUCUAUCUCUUUCACAUAAAGCGUCGCCAAAAAGAAUACAACCAUAUGCAAAAAACAGAUGAGUAAGUGAAAAUCUUUCCCUACCAAUCGACGCCUCCCUCAUUCUUCCUUUCUGCUUGGCUUUAUUAAUAAAAGUGGAGAAACCUUCAGCACAAAUUACUGAGAGGGUUUCCUUGCCUUAGUCCUCUUGAAGGCGAAAACCACUCAUUGUUAGCCCCGUUAAGGCUCACAGAAUAAGAGAUGGAACAAACACAUCUCAUAACCAAAACUAUCCAAUCAGCAUGAAAACCCAAAUGAGUCAUCAUUCCCGCCAAGAAAUCCCAUUCGACGCGGUCAUACGCUUUAGUCAUAUCGAGUUUUAGCGCAAAGUUCCCCUUCUUGCCACUUUUCUUCAUUUUAAGAGAGUGAAUAACCUCAUAAGCAAUAAGCACAUUAUCCGAAAUAAGCCUUCCUAGGAUAAAAGUCCUUUGGGCUUCAUCAAUACAUUAUCCCAAAACAGUACUCAUUCUAUUCACCAAGGCUUUCGCGAUUAUUUUGUAAACAUCAUUACAAAGGCUUAUAGGUCUAAAUUGUAACAAAUUUUUUGGUUUUUCAACCUUAGGGAUCAAAACAAUACGUGUCUUAUUAAUAUAUCCCACUUCAGAUUUGCCAUUCAAAAUAGACAAACAAUAAGCAGUAAUAUCAGACCCAAUUAUAUGCCAUUACCUUUGAAAAAAUAUUGCGGGAAAUCCAUCAACUCUAAGUACAUUCAAAGGCGCCAUCAUCUUUACCGCCGAUUCAAUAUCUUCUUCAGUGAAUUGUUUAAUAAGAAAAUCAUUCAUGCUCUCAGUAACUAUUUUCUCUACUAAUUCAAAAACAUGCUCAUCAGAACCCAUCUCAAAAGCCGAAAAAAGGUUACUAAAAUAAUCAGCAGCAAGCUUCAAAAUCUCCUCAGUCGAAGAAAUCCUCCUACCGUUCCCAUUAUCAAGCUCAGAAAUUCUACCCCGUAACUGAUGUUGCACAGCUAUUUUAUGAAAGUAGCUAGUAUUACGAUCUCCAUUCUUUAGCCAAUUAACCCGAGCUCGUUGCUCCCAGAAUAAUUCCUCCUUAUCUGCCUCCAAAUUAAGCCCCACUUGGACAUUUGUAAUUUUCGCUAAAGUCUCGUCAGAGGGAUCUUGAUUAUAAUGAACAUUUAAUUUAUCUUCUAAAUCUACACGGUGUUUCAUUUCCUCUUUAAUUUUGGAUUUGUUUUAUCGUUGAAUCUGAUAACUCAAAUUCUCGAGCUUAAUCGGAACGCUUCCUGAAACAUCAGCCCACCAUUUUUUCACCAUCUCUUCAAAUGAGCUAUCUAAACACCAUUUGGCUUCGAAUUGAAAUAUUUUGUCAUUAUUAUCCUGCUCAUUCCAACUUUUCCUUAUAGUAUCCAAAAGAAUAGGGCAAUGAUCAGAAAAACAAUGACUCAGAUGAUCAACCUGAUAAUUAGGAAAAAGAUUUACCCAAUUCAACGUAACAACUCCACGGUCCAGACGUUCCCUUAUGUUUGCAUCUGAAAAUUUCUCUCGCUCCCAUGUGAACCAUCACCCAACAUAGCCUAAAUCAUUAAGCCUGCAAUCCUCCAGUGACAUUUGGAAAGCAUUUAUCUGGCGUUCUAAUCUAAGUUGACCACAUUUCUUCUCGAAAGAAUUGGCAAUCUCAUUGAAAUCCCCUAAAACAACCCAGGGGAUGGAUUAGUCAUGGCUUAAGUCUCUUAGUAAUUCCCAUGAUCUAUAUCUAUUCCUUCCGUCCGGAUUACCAUAAAAGCCCGUUAACCACCAAACAUCAUCACAUUCAUUAUCAUGAAUUUCAAAGCCAAUAUGAAAAGAAGAAAAACUUCUAAAGCUAACCAAAGAAUUACCUUUCCAACCCAAUGAUAGCCCCCCUCUUGACCCUACUGCUCCAAUGUCAAUCCUGUUCUCAAAACCGCACUUUAAUCUGACCAUUUCCAUCUUUUUUGAACGUAAUUUUGUUUCCAUAAGAAACAAAAUUCGGGGAGUAAUGGCUCGCAGCUUAUUUUUGAGCCUUUUUACAGUUCAUGGCCUUCCCAAACCACGAACGUUCCAUCUUAGUAUUUUCAUUGGGCUCGGCUGCUCUGCUCACCAGAACUAGCCGUUAAAUCAUGAUAACCACAUUUCGCAUUAAUACCCAAAGAAAUUAACAGGCCCGCCACAAUUCUCUACCACUUUUUUCCUUCCACAGCUGUUAUUGGGUCAUUUUCCUCUUCCACAACAAUUUCCAUGGGCCCAUUUACUAGCCCGUCAAUAUUCAAAGCACUAUUUCCCAAAUUGCGUCCAUUAUUAUUCCCAUUAAUGAAAUACUGUUAAUUGGGUCCUAAUGGGAUUAAAUUUGGAUUUGAUAUAUGUUUUCCAAAAUCUCUCCCAAUAAUCCGUCCAGAAUCAAUCUCACAAUUAAAGCUAUUGCAUUGAUUAGUACUUCCCAUAUUAUCAGCACAACAUUAUGACCCAUCAGCCUUACGCAACCACCUAAUUACCACCGUAUUCGACCUUCGUGGCACCGCACGCAACGAUAAAUCCCAUCCAAAACUAAUUUUGAUGGCUCAAUUCUUAAUCGGAAUGGACAGUAGCUCUUACCAUGCCCCAAUUUGCCACAAAUGAAGCAAAACAAACUUAACUUCUCAUAAACGAACAUAGCUUCCUCCAUUUUGAUCUUUUUUUUACGCUUCAACGGAGUCGUAACAUCCAGACAAACACGAAUGCGCAUAUGUGUUGCUUGCUCAAAAACGGAAUGAAGGCAUCAUAGUCUAAAAACUUCCCCAAGAAAUCACCAAAUUGCUUAGCCAUCGAUUCAGACAUCAACCUUGCAAGUAGUUCAUGAAUUUGAACCUAGAACUCAGUAGAGUUUAACACCAAAACUGACGAGUUUUCUCCUGGCUGAAUUCUUUGCAGUAAUAACAAAUGGCUAUUGAAGAACCACGAUGUACCAGAUAUCACCCUUUGGAUGUCAACCUUAUUGAAAAAUUAGAAGAGAUAUCGUUUGUUACCAAGGUCUGUUAUGCAAAUCCCUCCAAAAGGAUGCUAGAGAUCGGCCAUGGUAUUACGUAGAGAAGGAAAGUGAACGACACUAUCUGUUAAACAUUGCCCCACCAGACAAAACUGAAUUCUUCGAUCAUUCACCACUACUUAUCCUUGGAUCAUCUCCUCCUCUUCAUCCAAUAAACUCAAAUUAGCUAGCUCCUCAUCCAUAGUUUGUUCAAAGAAACCCCGAACCAAGAAAAAGCACUGAAUCGAGAAGAAGAGAAAAAAACAACACCAAAAACUAAAGAGAUAAAAAAGAAACCGUGUCAAAAGACAAACAGAGAAAACAUGUCAAAAGACAGACAACAAGUUUUUUUUUUUAAUAUUCAAAGUUCUAAUUUAAU